Aquila chrysaetos chrysaetos is the source of this 4002-nucleotide RNA transcript. It is a transcript of the gene named mediator complex subunit 10, with no coding region annotated. The record is from RefSeq and is a predicted model, not a curated record. NCBI's taxonomy places the organism in Eukaryota, Metazoa, Chordata, Aves, Accipitriformes, Accipitridae. The transcript has 5 exons.
CCCUUCUUUCCGCGCAUGCGCGGCCGGCCGGAAGCGGGGUGGGGGAAGACGGCGGUGAUGGCGAUGGCGGAGAAGUUCGACUCUCUGGAGGAGCACUUGGAGAAGUUUGUGGAGAACAUCCGGCAGCUCGGCAUUAUCGUUAGCGACUUCCAGCCCAGCAGCCAGGCUGGGCUCAACCAGAAAUUGAAUUUCAUGGUGACGGGCUUGCAGGAUAUCGACAAGUGCCGGCAGCAGCUUCACGAUAUCAGCGUGCCCUUGGAAGUUUUUGAAUACAUAGAUCAAGGCCGCAAUCCUCAGCUUUACACUAAAGAGUGUCUGGAGCGAGCUUUGGCUAAAAAUGAGCAAGUAAAAGGAAAAAUAGACACAAUGAAGAAAUUUAAAAGUCUGUUAAUUCAAGAACUGACAAAGGUGUUCCCAGAAGACAUGGCUAAGUACAAAGCUAUUCGAGGAGAAGAUCCUCCUCCUUAAGCAGGCCUUUGAUAGCUCUAAAAAUGUUAAUUCCAUAAACUGACACCACUCUAUAAAAACACUGAUUGGAGAGAGGAGGAACCCAAGCCGUCAUAACAACUGUACUAAAAAUGGCAGUGAUGGACUGUAAAGGAGGUUGAUGAUUGCUGAUGGUUCUGGUCUGAAGCUACUGAAUCUUUCUGAAGACUUUUACUCAAAGAUUGCAGUUGAAACUUCCUAUGGUCCCUAGGAGCUGUUGAAGCAAGGCUUGUGACUGGCAAGUGGGAUGUAUACAGGGCAUGAGCAAAGAAGGUAAGAGUAUUUUUCAGGUAUGUAUAAUGUGGUGGGCAGCAGAGCUUGAGAGCAAUAAUGUUGGCAGGAGGCAGGUGAAACUGUUUAAACAGUAAUUGAGAGAGAACACUUACAUGACAAGAGGCCAGUAGAUACUGGUCAGGAUACUGGAGUAUUCUGGCUCCUAGCGCUGAUACAAGCUUGUGUGUCAGACUUGGUGGGGUAGCACACUUAAAAACUGGUGCUUCCAGGAAGCCUUAUUUUUAUUCCAAAAUACUUUACUCUGGUUGUGCAAAUUCUCUUAGAAAUUCACAUUAAAAAAAAAAGUUUCAAAUAGCAAGGACAAUUUAUCUGUAUGAAUUUUUGUAUCUGUAAACUUUUCAGGGUGAGUCUCCUAAUUCUUUAGAGCAUCCUUGGUAGCUUUAAUUUUUGUAACGUCAACUUAGGAAAAAAAAUGAAUGCACUCUAGAAAUCAAACGAAAACAAAACACUUAAGAUUCCUCUGUAGAGCGAGCUGGCAUUUUGUUUGAAAGUAGACUCACUGGGGAAGCACUGGAACAGGUUGAACAUAUAGGUGGUAGCAUCUCCAACCAUCUCUGGAGGUUUUGAAGGCUCGCCUGGACUAGGUCCUGAGCAGCCUGAUCUAAUGUAGCAGUUGGCUCUGCUUGGAGCAGGAGCUGGGCUAGGUGAACUCCAGAGGCUUUUUCCAAUCAAUAUGAUUCUGUGACUGUGAUUCAAAUAAUAUGGUUCGUAAGUAUAAAAAGGAUAAAGGGUAGGGGCUAAAAUUGUUGGAAGAGAAAUCUGGAUUAGGCAUUAAAAACCAAUCUUAUCAUAAAGCUUGCAAAGCAAUGGUAUGUUGAGGAAGUAUAGUUUCCAUCAGAAGAACAUCAUUCAUGAGACAUUGAUGUAGUUGAUUGUAUCUUAAAGGUGGGGGAGAAACAAGAUGACUUCUUGAUGUUCAUUCCAGCCCAUUUUUGACCAUAGGAUUUUGCCAUUUGGGAAAAAAAAAUCGGUAUGGAUUAGCAUGAAGUAUUUCUUGAAGGAGAGCAAGGACAAGAGGCAGUGAGCCUGAGUUGUAAGGACGGAAAUUUGAUGGACAGAAGGAGUAAGUGCUUCCCUCUGAGACUGGUUUAGCACUGGAACAGGUUCUCAGAGUGGCUGCAGAAUUGCUGUCCUGAGAGAUUUUCCUGUGUUGUCUGUACAAAGCUCUAAGCGAUCAGACAUAGAUUAAAAGUUAGCCCUCCUUGGGGAAGGCAACUGAACUAGAUAACCUGCAGAGGUCCCUUCCAACCAAUUUUUUUCUGUUUUCUAUGAUUCUAUUACCUUACCUUGUCACAAUGAAAGGUUUUUGACUACUCGGUCUUAAUGCUGAUUUUUUUUUUUUUUGUUGCAGUAUGCUGCACAUGAUAGUGGGUAUUUAACCAGUGCCAGGGACCUUUGCUUUUAUGUAGUGUAAAUUGUGAUUAGUACCUGUGCCUGUAGGUGAAGCACUGAAGAGGUGUUGCAAGAAGCUUUUUCAUUUCCUUUUCAAUGCGUUGGGUUGCGAGCAAAAAUGGUUUUAAAGAUGUUUGGGAUCAGAAACAGCUUAAAGUAUAUGCAAAGUCAAGUUUACUUUGAAACAAAGAUGAGGCCUCUGGAGGAACUGAAAGCUCAAGGUAAUUCUGUCUGUGUAGUACAUCUUCAUAUAUUUCUUAGCCUGCUGCAUUUAGUGGGCAUCUCUGUACCUGUUUCCAAUUCUUCACGCUAACUAGGAUUUCCCUGCUGGUAACUUUAGAGCCAUUAAUGUUGUUACAUAAGAGAAAGGUUUUCAACCAGGAGAGACUUUAUCUUUUUAAUUCUUUAGUUAAAAAAUAAAAUACUUAGUUUUACAUUCUUCUUCCCCCUUUGAUUCAACUCCUUUGCUGUGAUGCCAUUCAAAAACUUUUAGCUUAUAAUUUUUGGUUUAAACACCAUAUUCUAAAAGGUAGUCGUCAUUUUUCAAAUUAGUUUUUACACAUAUGGUUACUUUGAAUUUUGGGCCUAGUGUAUUAAUUUAUAACAAUAGCAACAGCUGGUACUCUGAAAAUACCAUCACGGGAUUUAUAUUCUAGAUGUUCUGUGGAGAUUAGUAUCAUAUAUGUCUCCAUCAGUUGGCCCUCACCAGCUCUGUGUUGAUAGGUUCAGAGCUAAUGAGCUUAAUAUGGUAGGGCUUUUUUGUAAUGUUUUCUUUCCAUGUCUAUAUUCCAUGCUGUACAUUCCAUAGAAACUAAUAAUGGAUUAGUAGAGCUUAUAAUGUAUGGAUUCACUCCUACUGCUGAUAGGAAGAGAAGGCGUGAGAAGGAGAGGGGCACUCUUACAACAGAUUUGCUGGAAAGAGGAUUUGUUCCUUGAAUAUAAAAACAGUGAACAGAAUUCAAAAUUUAACUUUCUGAAUAUUAAAUAUUUUUAUGCUGAAAAAUUCCUUUCCUUAACAGAAAAAACCCAAGUUCUGUGUGGUGUUUCAGUGCAUCACAGCUGCCCUCUUCCUGCUAUGCAGCUGAAUCAUUUCUCCACAACUCUGCUGCUUUCCACCUCUUAAGAGCACCAGCAGUUGGGCAAGAUGAGGUAUUUUUGGCAGAGGAUGGUGAAAGAGAAACUCUGUUCGUAGAAUCUGUGAAUUUUCCAUGUUCUGGUGGGCUCAGUGUGGGAAGCCCUUGAAAUUAGUUGAAUUGUCUAGUAAGCAUCCUUUUUGUCUAUUCUCAGCUACGGCCUUCGCCUCACUCCACAGGAGUACCAAUGUGCUUUUGCAUUAGGCAGUCUCCUGUACCUUGUGGAAAAGGCUGUUCACUUUGCUACCGUUACAACCCCAUCAUCCUUGUAGCAGCGCUGCACCAAGGACUUGGACUAAAUCUAUGCAUUUGAUUUGUUUGUGAAGCAUCAUUCAGUUUUGGCCAUGCUCUCCUGAUUUUGGCACUGCAUUAUGGAUUUGGUUGUGCCUGCCCCAGGCAAGGCCUCGUGUGUUCUCUCUUCUCAAUGCUGUUAAUGCUGUUACUGCAACAUUAUUAAAGUAGUUGAGUAAGUUGAUUUUUGCAGAAUGAACAGGAGUGGCAGACGAUUCUGAAAAAUAACAACUCUCACACUUCCAAAACCAAAAUCACAGUAGUGUCUAAGGUCUAUUUUAUGAAAGUACAAUAUGAUUUUUAUUUUUAAAUUUUAUUCUAUUUAUCCCAAUUAACAAAGUUUCUUCUAUUCUGAAUUCCAGUGUUUAACAAUUAAUUUAUAGUAUAAAGGGUAAUAUUUUCCUCA